CCUACGGGUGGCAGCAGUGAGGAAUAUUGGUCAAUGGACGAGAGUCUGAACCAGCCAAGUAGCGUGAAGGAUGACUGCCCUAUGGGUUGUAAACUUCUUUUAUAUGGGAAUAAAAUGUUCCACGUGUGGGAUUUUGUAUGUACCAUAUGAAUAAGGAUCGGCUAACUCCGUGCCAGCAGCCGCGGUAAUACGGAGGAUCCGAGCGUUAUCCGGAUUUAUUGGGUUUAAAGGGAGCGUAGGUGGAUUGUUAAGUCAGUUGUGAAAGUUUGCGGCUCAACCGUAAAAUUGCAGUUGAAACUGGCAGUCUGGAGUACAGUAGAGGUGGGCGGAAUUCGUGGUGUAGCGGUGAAAUGCUUAGAGAUCACGAAGAACUCCGAUUGCGAAGGCAGCUCACUGGACUGCAACUGACACUGAGGCUCGAAAGUGUGGGUAUCAAACAGGAUUAAAUACCCCUGUAGUC
This 460-nucleotide ribosomal RNA is filed under the name uncultured bacterium. RNAcentral describes it as "partial 16S ribosomal RNA". It matches the Rfam family "Bacterial small subunit ribosomal RNA", at positions 338 to 795 of the family's 1533-position model. The record is from RNAcentral.